AGCAAACCUGAGUGUUUCUGUGCAAUGCAAAUUGCUUUGGCUUCCACACAGCUCCUGUCGCUUCAAGUGCGGAUGAGUGUUGCUGGAGAUGGCCACUGGAGAGGCUGAGUCAAAUCAAUCUCCUCACCUGAGGACUUCCUAAGACCAGCGCACUGAAGGACCAGCAGCAACAACAACAAUAAUGCUAAUGCUCCCUUAUGGUAAGACAAGACUGCAAUUCUCUGCCUGCUGAAGCUCAGCUAUGACCACGUGACUUGCCUUGGCCAAUGAAAGAGGAAGAGUAUGUAACACUGCUGAAUGGAAGCAAGUGGCCCCUGCCCCUGCUGCAGAGAUUCUAGACAUGUGUGCCAUGCUGGAGCAAGGAGACAGGGAGUCCUGGAGAAAGGAGACAUGGAACAGAGCUCCCAGCCCAGUCAAUAUGUAACAUGAGUGAGAAA
Molecule: long non-coding RNA, 437 nt
Filed under: Homo sapiens (human)
Lineage: Eukaryota; Metazoa; Chordata; Mammalia; Primates; Hominidae
Description: non-protein coding lnc-CHD9-3:10
Source: RNAcentral